This 498-nucleotide ribosomal RNA is filed under the name uncultured bacterium. RNAcentral describes it as "partial 16S ribosomal RNA". It matches the Rfam family "Bacterial small subunit ribosomal RNA", at positions 30 to 523 of the family's 1533-position model. The record is from RNAcentral.
AUUGAACGCUGGCGGCAUGCCUUACACAUGCAAGUCGAACGGUAACAGGUCUUCGGAUGCUGACGAGUGGCGAACGGGUGAGUAAUACAUCGGAACGUGCCUAGUAGUGGGGGAUAACUACUCGAAAGAGUGGCUAAUACCGCAUGAGAUCUACGGAUGAAAGCAGGGGAUCGCAAGACCUUGUGCUACUAGAGCGGCCGAUGGCAGAUUAGGUAGUUGGUGGGAUAAAAGCUUACCAGGCCGACGAUCUGUAGCUGGUCUGGGAGGACGAUCAGCCACACUGGGACUGAGACACGGCCCAGACUCCUACGGGAGGCAGCAGUGGGGAAUUUUGGACAAUGGGCGAAAGCCUGAUCCAGCAAUGCCGCGUGCAGGAUGAAGGCCUUCGGGUUGUAAACUGCUUUUGUACGGAACGAAAAGCCCCGGGUUAAUACCCUGGGGUCAUGACGGUACCGUAAGAAUAAGCACCGGCUAACUACGUGCCAGCCGCCGUCGUAA